This 63-nucleotide transfer RNA is filed under the name Cordylochernes scorpioides. RNAcentral describes it as "tRNA-OTHER". It matches the Rfam family "tRNA". From Rfam's summary of the family: Transfer RNA (tRNA) molecules are approximately 80 nucleotides in length. The record is from RNAcentral. Lineage: Eukaryota; Metazoa; Arthropoda; Arachnida; Pseudoscorpiones; Chernetidae.
GCAUCGGUGGUUCAGUGGUAGAAUGCUACGCGGGCGGCCCGGGUUCGAUUCCCGGCCGAUGCA